GUGCCAGCCGCCGCGGUGAUACGUAGGGUGCGAGCGUUGUCCGGAUUUAUUGGGCGUAAAGGGCUCGUAGGUGGUUGAUCGCGUCGGAAGUGUAAUCUUGGGGCUUAACCCUGAGCGUGCUUUCGAUACGGGUUGACUUGAGGAAGGUAGGGGAGAAUGG
This 160-nucleotide ribosomal RNA is filed under the name uncultured Propionibacterium sp. RNAcentral describes it as "partial 16S ribosomal RNA". It matches the Rfam family "Bacterial small subunit ribosomal RNA", at positions 505 to 664 of the family's 1533-position model. The record is from RNAcentral. Lineage: Bacteria; Bacillati; Actinomycetota; Actinomycetes; Propionibacteriales; Propionibacteriaceae.